UAUUUGGUCGUAGACCCGAAACCAGGUGAUCUACCCUUGGUCAGGUUGAAGUUCAGGUAACACUGAAUGGAGGACCGAACCGACUUACGUUGAAAAGUGAGCGGAUGAACUGAGGGUAGCGGAGAAAUUCCAAUCGAACCUGGAGAUAGCUGGUUCUCUCCGAAAUAGCUUUAGGGCUAGCCUCAAGUGAUGAUUAUUGGAGGUAGAGCACUGUUUGGACGAGGGGCCCCUCUCGGGUUACCGAAUUCAGACAAACUCCGAAUGCCAAUUAAUUUAACUUGGGAGUCAGAACAUGGGUGAUAAGGUCCGUGUUCGAAAGGGAAACAGCCCAGACCACCAGCUAAGGUCCCAAAAUAUAUGUUAAGUGGAAAAGGAUGUGGCGUUGCCCAGACAACUAGGAUGUUGGCUUAGAAGCAGCCAUCAUUUAAAGAGUGCGUAAUAGCUCACUAGUCGAGUGACACUGCGCCGAAAAUGUACCGGGGCUAAACAUAUUACCGAAGCUGUGGAUUGUCCUUUGGACAAUGGUAGGAGAGCGUUCUAAGGGCGUUGAAGCAUGAUCGUAAGGACAUGUGGAGCGCUUAGAAGUGAGAAUGCCGGUGUGAGUAGCGAAAGACGGGUGAGAAUCCCGUCCACCGAUUGACUAAGGUUUCCAGAGGAAGGCUCGUCCGCUCUGGGUUAGUCGGGUCCUAAGCUGAGGCCGACAGGCGUAGGCGAUGGAUAACAGGUUGAUAUUCCUGUACCACCUAUAAUCGUUUUAAUCGAUGGGGGGACGCAGUAGGAUAGGCGAAGCGUGCGAUUGGAUUGCACGUCUAAGCAGUAAGGCUGAGUAUUAGGCAAAUCCGGUACUCGUUAAGGCUGAGCUGUGAUGGGGAGAAGACAUUGUGUCUUCGAGUCGUUGAUUUCACACUGCCGA
This 913-nucleotide ribosomal RNA is filed under the name Staphylococcus aureus. RNAcentral describes it as "partial 23S ribosomal RNA". It matches the Rfam family "Bacterial large subunit ribosomal RNA", at positions 700 to 1611 of the family's 2925-position model. The record is from RNAcentral. Lineage: Bacteria; Bacillati; Bacillota; Bacilli; Caryophanales; Staphylococcaceae.